CACCAAGAAAUUAAAUCCCUCCACAUCAAAACUUGAAAGGUUAAAAUAUCAUCCCAACCCCCCUUCCUCGCCGAUCCCAACCCCCCCUUUCGCCGCCGUCGCCAUCUUGAAGUAGACUCCCUCUCUAAUUGCUCUCAACUCUUCCGUCAGUGGUCAGCCGGCCAGCCAGUCUCUCUCCUCGGCUGUUAACGAAGUCCAUUGUCUCUCUCUCUCUUCCCCAAAAUCCUCACCAUAGAUCUCGUUUCGUGGCGCUUCUCCGGAGAAAACCACCACCACUCUCCUUCCAGAUCUCCGCCGCCACUGCCGCGUCUUGAAGUGGAAUCCCUCUCUAAUCGCUCUCAUUUCUCCCGUCGAUGGUCGGCCGACCAGCCAGUCUCUCUCCUCGGCUGUUAAAGAGGUUCGUUCUCUCUCUCUCUCUUCUCCAAAAUCGUCGCCAUAGAUCUCGUUUCGGGCGCUUCUUCGGAGAAAACCACCACCACUCUCCUCCUAGAUUUCCGAAAGCAUCCGCCAAAAUGUGAGCUUUUUCCUCUUAAUCUUCUCUAUCAUCAUUUCAUCUCUUCUCUGGCUAUGGUGGAAGGAAGCGUGGAAUAAGAGAGAAGGAAGAGGAGACCAGAGCCCGGCUAUGGUGAAACGAUCUGGGGUUGGUAUAGCACCGAUCUAUUGAUGGUUUGGGGUUUUUGGUUUCAGGAAGCCGCUUUUUGGUUUGAUUACAUGGACUGCGGUGUGGAAAAUUGCAAAGAAACUACAGCCAAAAGAUGCUUCCUGUGUUAUUUCUACUGUAAUUUGUAAUUUGUAAUUUGUAAAUAUACCUCUUGUAUUAUUCCUAUUAUAAAAGAAAGAUCAUACAAAUUGGGCAUAUGUUGUAACAUGCUUCCUAUUGUAAUUUAUAAAAAAAAUCAAUAAAUGAGCAUAUCUUGUUCUUCUUGUGUUA
Long non-coding RNA from Phoenix dactylifera (date palm), 931 nucleotides. RefSeq lists it as uncharacterized. The record is from RefSeq and is a predicted model, not a curated record. NCBI's taxonomy places the organism in Eukaryota, Viridiplantae, Streptophyta, Magnoliopsida, Arecales, Arecaceae.